UACGGAGGGUGCAAACGUUGCUCGGAAUUAUUGGGCGUAAAGCGUACGUAGGCGGUCCAGCAAGUCGGGUGUGAAAGCCCUCGGCUUAACCGAGGAAGUGCAUUCGAAACUACAGGACUUGAAUACUGGAGAGGAUUGCGGAAUUCCCGGUGUAGAGGUGAAAUUCGUAGAUAUCAGGAGGAACACCAAUGGCGAAGGCAGCUCGCUGGAACGGUACUGACGCUGAGGCGCGAAAGCGUGGGGAGCGAACAGG
This 253-nucleotide ribosomal RNA is filed under the name uncultured bacterium. RNAcentral describes it as "partial 16S ribosomal RNA". It matches the Rfam family "Bacterial small subunit ribosomal RNA", at positions 524 to 776 of the family's 1533-position model. The record is from RNAcentral.